AAAGGACACGGCGGAGCAGAGAGAGAUGCUCGGCCGCUCCUCCUCCUCCGGGUCCAGGACUUGCUUCUUAUUUGCUGGACGCUGAUCUCCCUGCAGCCCUCGGAGGCGGCGGCCGCGCUGCUUUCAUUUCGGGGCUGUCAUCACCAGAAACGCCGGCUGCCGGCCGCCCACCAGCUCGGCUCCAGCCAGGCAGUGGUCUCUACAAGGAUGUCUGACCUAGAGUGGAGAUGGGGUGACUGAGGAUGGAAAUCUAGUCUGAACUCCACUCUCCAAUUUGGCAGAAGACCUGUGUCUUACUCAGCUUUGUGUUCCUUACAUCUCUGUAGCACACACUCCCCUGCGAAGGGGUUUUAUAAGGAACCCAGAGCCAAGACAAAGGAAUCAGGAGGAAUUCUAGCACAAUGGGAAGCCCCUGAAGGGUUUAAGCAGAAGACAAUAAAAGACUCCGAGAAGUGGCAGCAGGGAGUGGAGGAAAAAAAGCCUGGAAUUUACCCUGCUUUCUGCUCUGCACAUGGAAUGCCCCCUCCAUGUGUCCAUUGUCAUCCAAGGUGUUUUGACAGGUCUAGAGUGGGGUAAAAGAAUGGUAUUUAUUCAGGCCUAAUAUUGAGGCUUGGGGCUGGGCUGUAUAUCAGAGGGCAUGCAUAGACAAAGCUGAACAAAGGGGCACACCUACUGGGCACCUGCUGGGCACUUCUCUAAAAGUGGCACUGAGACAUCAUUAGGAUGAAUUAGAACUAGGGCACCAGUUAACCCGGGCCUGCAUGCUAGUGAAAGGAAAAUUGCGCCUCUCCCUCAACCCUGCUCCAGACAACUGAAUGGUGACUUCAAGAACAAAUAUUCAGGCUGGGUGCGGUGGCUCACACCUGUAAUCCCAACACUUUUGGAGGCUGAGGUGAGUGGAUCACCUGAGGUCAGGAGUUCGAGACUAGCCUGGCCAACAUGGUGAAACCCUGUUUCUACUAAAGAUACAAAAAUUAGCUGGGCGUGGUGGUGGGUGCCAGUAAUCUCAGCUAGGAGGCUGAGGCAGGAGAAUCGCUUGAGCCUGGGAGGCAGAGGUUGUUGAGAUGGUGCCAUUGCACUUCAGCCUGGACGACAAGAGCAUAACUCUGUCUCAAAAAAAAAAAAAAAAAAAAAAGAACAAAUAUUCAAAGGAUAUUAAUUAGAAGGGGAGUGACAUUGUAGACCAGACCAUGCUCCAUCAUAUAAAAGCUGUAUUGUUGGCAAAGUUGUUGAGCAUCUCAUGGCCUCAUUUUCCUCGUCUGUAAACUAGUGCCUUGUCACACAAAUCUGUUAUGAGGAUUACAUGAGUGCCUAGGCAGAUGACAACUGUUAUGUAGCAAAUCUGUAGUGAGAAAUGAACCCAGAAUAUGCAGCACAAAAUGCCUCCUUAACUCCAUAGUCAGGUUAGAAAAAGAGAAGAGAAGGAAAGAGGAGAGAGAGAACCUGUCAUCAUAGAGAGAUCCCUACCCCCAACCCCCUCUGCUGGCUACCAAGGUAAGGUAGACCUGCCCACAAGGCUGGAAGUUUCGGAAAGGUAAAGAAAGUCUAAACACAUGCACAUACAAACACUAUUACUUAACAUUUUAGUAAUAUUAAGUCAUAUAACAUUUGGUGCCCAGGGUAAACUUCCAUUUGAUUAGAGGUUCCGGUUAGGUUAGUAUCAUCUCAAAAUUUACCUAAUUUAGUCUUCUCAUCAACCUCUCAAAGUAGUGUCUGCAUAUUUGGAUAUCAUUAACCUGUAGUCAAAACCAGGAGAUGUUGUGGUUCAUACAUAUUUUGUACACAUAAAGAUUCGACUUCAAUUUCUGCAGAAUAAGGUCAUAGCACACUUAGUAUUUAAUGUAUUUAAAGACAUGUAUGCAAAGAGAAAACAUGACAGCAUUUACCUCAUGCCCCUUAGCAUGAAAGCAUACAACACUAAUGAUAACUUUAUUAUCCUAUUUUUGAAUAUCACCAGCAACCUGAGAAAUUAUUUACGUUCAGAUACAAACAGGUCAAAUAUAAAUGGCCACAAUAGGAGCCAACUAUUAAUACAUAAUUAUAAAAUAUUAAGUCCCUUCUGAAGAAGCAAAAAAUGGCAUUUGCGGCUGGGCACGGUGGCUCACGCCUGUAAUCCCAGCACUUUGGGAGGCCGAGGUGGGUGGAUCACCUGAGGUCAGGAGUUCAAGACCAGCCUGACCAACAUGGUGAAACCCCAUCUCUACUAAAAAUACAAAAUUUAGCUGGGUGUGGUGGCGGGCACCUGUAAUCCCAGCUACUCGGAAGGCUGAGGCGUGAAAAUUGCUUGAACCCGGGAGGUGGAGGUUGUGGUAGGCCGAGAUCCUGCCACUGCACUCCAGCCUGGGUGACACAGCGAGACUCCAUCUCCAA
RNAcentral lists this long non-coding RNA (2370 nucleotides) under Homo sapiens (human). RNAcentral describes it as "non-protein coding FRY-AS1:2". The stretch from base 2087 to 2203 matches the Rfam family "Metazoan signal recognition particle RNA". Lineage: Eukaryota; Metazoa; Chordata; Mammalia; Primates; Hominidae. The record is from RNAcentral.